This 465-nucleotide ribosomal RNA is filed under the name uncultured bacterium. RNAcentral's name for it is "partial 16S ribosomal RNA". It matches the Rfam family "Bacterial small subunit ribosomal RNA", at positions 339 to 795 of the family's 1533-position model. The record is from RNAcentral.
CUACGGGACGCAGCAGUGGGGAAUAUUGGACAAUGGAGGAAACCCUGAUCCAGCAAUGCCGCGUGUGUGAAGAAGGCCUGCGGGUUGUAAAGCACUUUCGGUUGGGAGGACUGCUUCUAGCACUAAUAUUGUUGGAAGUUGACGUUACCUUCAGAAGAAGCACCGGCUAACUCCGUGCCAGCAGCCGCGGUAAUACGGGGGGUGCAAGCGUUAUUCGGAAUUACUGGGCGUAAAGCGCGCGUAGGCGGCUAGAUCAGUCGGGUGUGAAAGCCCCGGGCUUAACCUGGGAACUGCAUCCGAUACUGUCUAGCUUGAGUACAGGAGAGGAGAGUGGAAUUCCACAUGUAGCGGUGAAAUGCGUAGAUAUGUGGAGGAACACCAAUGGCGAAGGCAGCUCUCUGGCCUGAUACUGACGCUGAGGUGCGAAAGCGUGGGGAGCAAACAGGAUUAGAUACCCUCGUAGUC